This 772-nucleotide long non-coding RNA is filed under the name Linum usitatissimum (flax). Its description in RNAcentral is "long non-coding RNA (LUSI_LNC006172)". The record is from RNAcentral. Lineage: Eukaryota; Viridiplantae; Streptophyta; Magnoliopsida; Malpighiales; Linaceae.
UCAGGUGAUGGUGCAGGAGCCGUGUCAUCAUCAGAAGAAGUUACUACAGGUGGGGACGGUGGGCUAGGAGGUUUCGGCGCUGGAGCUGGGGCAUGAUGAUGAUGCCUCUUGUGCUUGUGGGAUCUCUUUUUCUUGUGCUUGGAUGGAGCAGGAGCAGGUACAAGCACUAAUGGAGUUGGCGCUGGAGGUGGAAUAGCCGGUGCAGGCACUGGCGCUGGAGGGGGCACAAGUGGUGCUGGUGCAGGCGCUGGAGGGGGCACAAGUGGUGCUGGUGCAGGUACUGCAGGAGGUAAAGCCGGUGGUGGCGUUGCAGGAGCUGGAGGUAAAGCAGGUGGUGGUGUUGCUGGGGCAAAUACAGGCGAUAGAGUAGGAGGAGGAGUUUGUGGUGGUGGAGCAAUUGGACUGGAAACCGGUGCUACCUUUGGAGAUGGUGGGGAGGAUGUAGGAGUGUUUGCCGGGAUCGGUGAUGCAGCUGGGGUUAUCGCCACUGGAGAAGGAGUAGUUGUGGUUGGUGGAGGAACGGUAGGCAAGGUAGAGGGUGAUGCUGCUGGUGAUUGGCCAUUGACAGCAGUGGCUAAGUGCAAACUUACCAUGCAACCCAAGAUGAAAACCUUGAGAAUGGAAGAAGCCAUGUUGCUGUGAAUGUGUAGUAAAUGAUAGAACUCACCAAUGGUGGGGUUAUAUAAUAUUGAGAAGGGACUGUUAAGAAGCUUUGGGGAGAAGGGAAAAGAAUGUUUGGUGAAACGUGGAGGGAGGGAAAGAUGUAAUCUUC